Long non-coding RNA from Cavia porcellus (domestic guinea pig), 1218 nucleotides. RefSeq lists it as uncharacterized. The record is from RefSeq and is a predicted model, not a curated record. Lineage: Eukaryota; Metazoa; Chordata; Mammalia; Rodentia; Caviidae. The transcript is spliced from 3 exons.
AUUUUCACAAGUUUACUUUAUAAGACUCACUUUGUCAGCUUAUGAAUGAAUCCAACAUAUGAACAAUUCUCCAGAAUUCAUUAGGAACUCAUUACUUUACAGGCCCAGUUGUAUCUGAGACCUGCCUGACAGCUGUGACCUUUGGAAACUAGGUGAAGCUGCUCCUGUUGCUGUAACCUCACCGGAAGAGAUUUGGUGUCUCUACUGUUACUCACCUGUUUCCAGCUCAAGAUGUGGGACUCAUGCCUUUGAUCUGCAGCAUGUCCAGCUACAAUGGCUGGAAAAGCAAGGUAAUGUGAUGAGGGAAAGAUCAGCAGAUUAAGAAGUCCUGUGCCACCAACUAAUCACUCUGCCUUUGUGCAGCCUGCUUACUUUCUAUGAGGCUAUUUCAUCAUUCUUAAAGUGAAAAGGUUGGUCCCUGAGUUUGUUUGUUUGUUUGUUUCUUUUUUUCCUUCCUUCCUUCCUUCCUUCCUUCUUUUCUUUGUUUCCUUCCUUCCUUAGAGAUCAAACCUAGGGAAGCACUUCACCACUAAGCUACAUCUCUAGCCCCCUUCCAGCUUUCAGCAUCUAAAAACAUCAUAGCAAAAUCACUAAUAAAAAGUUAUAUAGCUGGGCAGUGGUGCAAGCAGCAGGUGCGCCAGGGAGGAAACAAGUCCGUGUCUCCAGUGAGCCUGAGAAUCAAAUGUCCCAUUCCAUACACACCCCUAGCGAUGGGAUGGUGUCAAGGACAGCCGGAGUUGAUAGCAACUAAGGCACAUGAAGCAACUAAGUGCUUGUAUUGUUGAAUUGAUUAUGCAGGCCUGUGGCCAGAGCUCUGAGCAUCUCUUGGGAGGAUGACUGUAUGCAAUAGAGCAAAUAUGGGGGAUUUCCUUCUAGCUUCUCUUUGAAGGCAAAUAUUGUUUUCACUGCUUUUCUUUGUUCCGUUUAAUUGUUUUGCUCUAUUCAGUGUGCUGUUUUGAUAGGUUUUAUAAUGUUCCUUUUUUUUGUCUUUUUUUUUCAUUUUUAUCAGUACCGGGGAUCAAACUCAUGACUGCCUGUUUGCAAGGCAGGUACUUAUGCCGCUGAGCUAAACCCCCAGCCCCUAAUGUUCCAUUUUUGGUUUGAUUUUGCUGUACCCGAUUGAAUGGACAACUACUGUGAAGAUAACAAGAUAUAUUAUGGUACCUAUUACUGUUAUCCUGGUAUCCUGCUCUGAAGUUCUGUACCAAUUUCAUUGCA